Molecule: unclassified non-coding RNA, 244 nt
Filed under: plant metagenome
Description: partial contains small subunit ribosomal RNA, internal transcribed spacer 1, and 5.8S ribosomal RNA
Source: RNAcentral
UCUUCGUUGGUGAACCAGCGGAGGGAUCAUUACCGAGUUUACAACUCCCAAACCCAAUGUGAACCAUACCAAACUGUUGCCUCGGCGGGGUCACGCCCCGGGUGCGUCGCAGCCCCGGAACCAGGCGCCCGCCGGAGGGACCAACCAAACUCUUUCUGUAGUCCCCUCGCGGACGUUAUUUUUACAGCUCUGAGCAAAAAUUCAAAAUGAAUCAAAACUUUCAACAACGGAUCUCUUGGUUCUG